This 24-nucleotide non-coding RNA is filed under the name Arabidopsis thaliana (thale cress). Lineage: Eukaryota; Viridiplantae; Streptophyta; Magnoliopsida; Brassicales; Brassicaceae. The record is from RNAcentral.
UACGAAAAUUUCACGGCAUGCCCG